Non-coding RNA from Paramuricea clavata, 765 nucleotides. The record is from the annotation of a GenBank genome assembly. Lineage: Eukaryota; Metazoa; Cnidaria; Anthozoa; Malacalcyonacea; Plexauridae.
GCGAAGAAAGGAGACCCUGUUCAGCUUGAUUCUAGUCUUACUCUCUGAAAAAAAAAAACAGGAGAGGUGUAGAAUAAGUCGGAGGAGCAAUCCGCCGGCGCCGGUGAAAUACCACAAACUACUUUUAUCGUUUCUUUUUACUUAUUCGGUGAAGCAGAGCUGGACCUCCACGUCCACUUUUUAGCGUUAAGAUCACUCUUCUGCCGGUCGAUUCGAGCCGAAGACACUGUUAGGUUGGGAGUUUGGCUUGGGCGGCACGACUGCAAAAUGAUAACGCAGCUAGCAGGUGUCCUAAGAUGUUGAGAACGGAAAUCUCAUGUAGAACAAAAGGGUACAAGCUCACUUGAUUUUGACUUUCAGUAUGGAUACAAACUGUGAAAGCGUGGCCUAUCAAUUCCUUAAGGCUGGUUUCCACUGUUGCGUUUUUCAUACGUACUUAUACGCACGUAAAACUUUAAAUCCGUUUAAAUGUUAUUUAUGAAAUAACCAAAUAAAUAAAGCAACAGAAUUUAGUGUUCCGCAAGUUUUAGUAUGCAUUUGUUAACUUAUUUGUAAAAUAUUUAAAAAAUAGAAGGAUUCAAAGUUUUACGUGCGUGUACGUGCGCACGAAAAACGCAACAGUGGAAAUCAGCCUUUAGUCUUUACGAGUUUUACGCUAGGGCGGACACCGUGUCAGAAAUGUUAGCACAGGGAUAACUGGGCGCUUAUGGCAGCCAAGCGUUCAUAGCGACAUUGCUCUCUUUGGCUAUAAUUUCUUUAUCAUGC